RNAcentral lists this ribosomal RNA (640 nucleotides) under uncultured Cortinariaceae. RNAcentral's name for it is "eukaryotic LSU rRNA". The stretch from base 217 to 370 matches the Rfam family "5.8S ribosomal RNA". Lineage: Eukaryota; Fungi; Basidiomycota; Agaricomycetes; Agaricales; Cortinariaceae. The record is from RNAcentral.
GCUGUUGCUGGUUCCCUCUGGUGGCACAUGCUGCACGCUUGUCAUCUUUAUCAUUUCUCCAAAACUGUGCACCUCUUGUAGACCUGGAGCUGGAUUUCAUUCGAAUUGGGAACUGCUGUGCUUUCACAAGUCAGCUUUGCCUUGCAUAUUUCCAUGGUCUAUGUUCACACAAAACCUGUUUAGAAUGGUUGGACUAAAUAUUAUUAAAAGUUAUACAACUUUCAGCAACGGAUCUCUUGGCUCUCGCAUCGAUGAAGAACGCAGCGAAAUGCGAUAAGUAAUGUGAAUUGCAGAAUUCAGUGAAUCAUCGAAUCUUUGAACGCACCUUGCGCUCCUUGGUAUUCCGAGGAGCAUGCCUGUUUGAGUGUCAUUUUAACUUCUCAACCAUAUCGAAUUGUUUUUCGAGGUGGCUUGGACAUGGGGGUUUUUGCAGGCUUCAAUAAUGAAGUCGGCUCCUCUGAAACGCAUUAGUGGUAUCUGAAGCAGAACUGCUACUAUUAGGUGUGAUAAUUAUCUAUGCCACUUGGUAUACUGCAUGAACAGAUUGCGCUGCUUCCAACUUGUACACCCUUUGGUGUUUGACAAAUUUGACCUCAAAUCAGGUAGGACUACCCGCUGAACUUAAGCAUAUCAAUAAGCG